This is a long non-coding RNA of Lutra lutra (Eurasian river otter), 184 nucleotides long. RefSeq lists it as uncharacterized. Lineage: Eukaryota; Metazoa; Chordata; Mammalia; Carnivora; Mustelidae. The record is from RefSeq and is a predicted model, not a curated record. The transcript has 2 exons.
GGGCGGGGGAUGGGGGUAUUGGGAGGACCCGCUGAAGUCUUAUGAACAAGAAAUCGUGUGAUUUCGUGAAAGAAAAAUUUUAACCAUUCCAUUGAUCUUUGAAAGACUGCAAUCUUACUUAACAUGUCAGUUUAAAAAAAAAAAUUACUAAUAUUCCACCUAUGAGAAAUAUUUAAUGUAUAAA